Molecule: small RNA, 28 nt
Filed under: Bombyx mori (domestic silkworm)
Lineage: Eukaryota; Metazoa; Arthropoda; Insecta; Lepidoptera; Bombycidae
Description: ovarian small RNA-16209
Source: RNAcentral
GCAAAGAAGAUCGAAGAAUGCUCGAAGC